Molecule: ribosomal RNA, 498 nt
Filed under: Bacillaceae bacterium CL2.27
Lineage: Bacteria; Bacillati; Bacillota; Bacilli; Caryophanales; Bacillaceae
Description: bacterial SSU rRNA
Rfam family: Bacterial small subunit ribosomal RNA
Source: RNAcentral
CCCUGGCUCAGGACGAACGCUGGCGGCGUGCCUAAUACAUGCAAGUCGAGCGAAUCGAUGGGAGCUUGCUCCCUGAGAUUAGCGGCGGACGGGUGAGUAACACGUGGGCAACCUGCCUAUAAGACUGGGAUAACUUCGGGAAACCGGAGCUAAUACCGGAUACGUUCUUUUCUCGCAUGAGAGAAGAUGGAAAGACGGUUUACGCUGUCACUUAUAGAUGGGCCCGCGGCGCAUUAGCUAGUUGGUGAGGUAAUGGCUCACCAAGGCGACGAUGCGUAGCCGACCUGAGAGGGUGAUCGGCCACACUGGGACUGAGACACGGCCCAGACUCCUACGGGAGGCAGCAGUAGGGAAUCUUCCGCAAUGGACGAAAGUCUGACGGAGCAACGCCGCGUGAACGAAGAAGGCCUUCGGGUCGUAAAGUUCUGUUGUUAGGGAAGAACAAGUACCAGAGUAACUGCUUGGUACCUUGACGGUACCUAACCAGAAAGCCACGGC